Molecule: ribosomal RNA, 440 nt
Filed under: uncultured bacterium
Lineage: Bacteria
Description: partial 16S ribosomal RNA
Rfam family: Bacterial small subunit ribosomal RNA
Source: RNAcentral
CCUACGGGAGACAGCAGUGGGGAAUAUUGGACAAUGGGGUAAACCCUGAACCAGCGACGCCGCGUGAGUGAAGAAGUAUUUCGGUACGUAAAGCUCUUUCAGCAUGAAAGAAAAUGACGGUACCUGACUAAGAAGCGCCGGCUAACUACGUGCCAGCAGCCGCGGUAAUACGUAGGGGGCACGCGUUAUCCGGAUUUACUGGGUGUAAAGGGAGCGUAGACGGCAGUGCAAGUCUGGAGUGAAAUGCCGGGGCCCAACCCCGGAACUGCUCUGGAAACUGGGAAGCUUGAGUGCAGGAGAGGUAAGCGGAAUGCCUGGUGUAGCGGUGAAAUGCGUAGAUAUCAGGAGGAACACCGACGGCGAAGGCAGCUUACUGGACUGUAACUGACGUUGAGGCUCGAAGGCGUGGGGAGCAAACAGGAUUAGAUACCCGUGUAGUC